RNAcentral lists this ribosomal RNA (492 nucleotides) under uncultured bacterium. RNAcentral describes it as "partial 16S ribosomal RNA". It matches the Rfam family "Bacterial small subunit ribosomal RNA", at positions 30 to 507 of the family's 1533-position model. The record is from RNAcentral.
AGUGAACGCUGGCGGCAGGCCUAACACAUGCAAGUCGAACGGCAGCACAGUAAGAGCUUGCUCUUACGGGCGGCGAGUGGCCGCCGGGUGAGGCAUCCCUCGGAAUCUACUUUUUCGUGGGGGAUCACGUCGGGAAACUUACGUUAAUAUCGCAUACGACCUACGGGUGAAAGCAGGGGAUCUUCGUACCUUGCGCGCUUGCAUGAGCCGAUGUCGGAUUAGCUAGUUGGCGGGGUAAAGGCCCACCAAGGCGACGAUCCGUAGCUGGUCUGAGAGGAGGAUCAGCCACACGGGAAGUGAGACACGGACCGGACACCGACGGGAAGUAGCAGGGGGGGAUAUUGGACAGUGGGCGCAGGCCUGAACGAGCCAUAGCGCGUGGGUGAAGAAGGCCUGCGGGUUGUAAAGCCGGGUGGAUGGGAAAGAAAAGCAGCAGGUUAAUACGCCGCUGUUCUGGAGGUACCCAAAGAAUAAGCACCGGCUAACUUCGUG